CUCGAUAAUCCACGUAUACCUAACCUUCUCUAGACACACAGCAUGUGUACUGCCGUUGUAAGCAUACCUCUAAAAGCAAGUAUGCCAUAAUGACCUCAAAACUCAUAUACAUCAGGUCAAAGUGCAGCCAAUAAGAAGGUGAUGAUGGGUUACAACCCUAAAACAGACUAUUGAAUAAGACAUAAAAAAUCUUACGAAAGUGGACUUGGCCGUAAUCAAUUUACAAGUUAAAAAAAUGAAUGAUCCUCUAAGAUAUGUACACAUCGCCCGUCAUUCUACCCUAAAGGGUAGACAAGUCGUAACAAAGUAGGCGUAAUGGAAAUUGCGCCUGUCGAAGUAUAGCAUAUAUAAUGCUUUUUACUUACACUAAAAAUAAAGUUAAAUACUUACUUCGCCUAAAAAUUAUAAAUCUUAAACACCUAUUAUAUUAAAGAUAAGCCACAGAAUAAAGUACAGAAAUGGAAAUAAAAAUUAAUAAAAGUAAUUCUUAACAACUGUACCUUGUGCAUUAUGGUUUUACAAGAAAAUAAUUAAAAAUAUUAAUCCCGAAUUCUAAAUGAGCUGUUAAACUGCUGUUAAGAACUCACUAAUGGCUGUAGAAAAAGCUUUAAAAGACUGUUUAACAGAGGCUACAUACCAUCCGCAUAAGAAUAUAUCUGGUUUUCAACAAAAAUUAUUCAUUAAUCCAUGUAGUUAAACUACACUGUAAUAUUAUUGAGGAUAAGCCCAAUAAUAAAAGCAAUACUUCACGAGUCUAUUUUACUAAUUAGGCCUAAAAUCAGUCAACUAAAGUGCUUUACCGCAAUAAAUAAAGACAUAAUUAAUAAAGAAGUAUGUUAAAUAAAGUUGAAAUUGUGAGUAAAUUAUAUAGCUCACAUAUACUAUGUAAAAAUAAGUAUUAUUAAAAUAUAUUAACCUUACUCAAGUAACUAACAUCCCACAAAAAAUAAUAACUAAUUAAGGAACUCGGCAAACCAUUAUUUCGACUGUUUAACAAAAACAUUGUCUCAUGAACUAAAUAUGAGAUAA
RNAcentral lists this ribosomal RNA (1029 nucleotides) under Megascolecidae sp. YN201759-02. RNAcentral describes it as "partial small subunit ribosomal RNA". The stretch from base 1 to 339 matches the Rfam family "Microsporidia small subunit ribosomal RNA", at positions 823 to 1311 of the family's 1311-position model. Lineage: Eukaryota; Metazoa; Annelida; Clitellata; Crassiclitellata; Megascolecidae. The record is from RNAcentral.